GGAAACCCAGUGCAAUUCGUUGCACUAUCGUUAACUGAAUACAUAGGUUAACGAGGCGAACCGGGGGAACUGAAACAUCUAAGUACCCCGAGGAAAAGAAAUCAACCGAGAUUCCCCCAGUAGCGGCGAGCGAACGGGGAGCAGCCCAGAGUCUGAAUCAGCUUGUGUGUUAGUGGAACGGUCUGGAAAGUCCGACGGUACAGGGUGAUAGUCCCGUACACCAAAAUGCACAGGCUGUGAACUCGAAGAGUAGGGCGGGACACGUGGUAUCCUGUCUGAAUAUGGGGGGACCAUCCUCCAAGGCUAAAUACUCCUGACUGACCGAUAGUGAACCAGUACCGUGAGGGAAAGGCGAAAAGAACCCCGGCGAGGGGAGUGAAAAAGAACCUGAAACCGUGUACGUACAAGCAGUGGGAGCACCUUCGGGUGUGACUGCGUACCUUUUGUAUAAUGGGUCAG
RNAcentral lists this ribosomal RNA (459 nucleotides) under Pasteurella multocida. RNAcentral describes it as "partial 23S ribosomal RNA". It matches the Rfam family "Bacterial large subunit ribosomal RNA", at positions 122 to 623 of the family's 2925-position model. The record is from RNAcentral. Lineage: Bacteria; Pseudomonadati; Pseudomonadota; Gammaproteobacteria; Pasteurellales; Pasteurellaceae.